GUGGAAGAAGGCAGUGAUGUUAUUUUACCCUGUUCCCUCUGGACCAAGAAGGACCUUUGGUCAACACGGUUUGUCUGGCGUAAAACUGAUGAUGAUCAGAUGGUGUUCCUGUAUGAUAAUGGUGAUCUUUACAGUGACGAGCUUCCAAGUUGGAAGUUCAAAGGUCGAGUCUCACAUUUUCCAGAUAAACUGGAACAAGGCAACGCCUCCAUAAUCAUCAGAAAUACAACGAGGGCUGACAGUGGAGACUACAGAUGUAUGUUUCCAUUAAUUCAGAAACCUCAAAAAUUCUAAAUUUCAAAAAGCUUCAUGUUGAGCCAAAAGUCAUCAAAGUGGAAGAAGGCAGUGAUGCUAUUUUACCCUGUUCCCUCAGCACCAAGGAGACCAUUGAGUUGACACAGUUUGUCUGGAAGAAAGUUUCCCAGAAAACUGAUGAUGGUCAGAAGGUGUUCCUGUAUGAUAAUGGUGAUCUUUACAGUGACGAGCGUCCAGGUCAGAGUGAGCAGUUCAAAGGUCGAGUCUCACAUUUUCCAGAUGAACUGAAACAAGGCAACGCCUCCAUAACCAUCAGAAAUACGACGAGGGCUGACAGUGGACACUACAGAUGUAAAUUUCCAUUCAUUCAGAAACUUCAAAAAAUCUACAUUAAGCUUGAUGUUGGUGAGUAGUUAGUUCAACUCCAGAGCCAAAUGAACUUGAUCCAUUAAUGAAUGGAAUGGAUGGAAUUGAACUUCAUUCAUUAAUGAUAGAAAGGCAUUGAUAAUGUCUGUGUUGCUGGAAACAUUUAUUUAGUUUUCAGUUAUUUUAUGCUUGUGUUAUAUCACAAUGAAUAGGUUCAUUGAUUUUGUCUUGCAGUUCUAGUUGAUUGUGUAAUUGU
Sander lucioperca (pikeperch) is the source of this 877-nucleotide RNA transcript. It is a transcript of the gene named CD276 antigen-like, with no coding region annotated. NCBI's taxonomy places the organism in Eukaryota, Metazoa, Chordata, Actinopteri, Perciformes, Percidae. The record is from RefSeq and is a predicted model, not a curated record. The transcript has 3 exons.